AUCAUCAGUAGUGGUUAAUACUAUCUCAAGAUAAUAUUAAUUACCAAAAUUUUAUAGGAACCGAAUGUUUCGAUGAUCCGUGUAUUUAAAGAUGGAGUUUGUGGCCACACGUACGCGAGUGCGUGUGGUGGGGCUCUGUCGAAGUUGAUACUGAUACGGGAUUCAUUGAUUCAAGUCAUAACCCAUAGCUGAGUGCACUCUGACCGCUCCCAAACAGGGCGGCAACAGAGUACAUUUCGUUUCCGGUUUCUUAGAUCAAAUCCACUGCUAUGGGGAGGUGCGCAUACGACCCGGUAAAAUGGGCCUGUGCGUAAGAGCAUGGCUUCCAGAGGAACGUGUAGUGCGUUCUGAGAGUUUGGAAUUGUCUGUUGUGCCUCUCUCCAUGCCAGAACAUGU
Molecule: small nucleolar RNA, 396 nt
Rfam family: Small nucleolar RNA snR37